GUGAACGCUGGCGGUAGGCCUAACACAUGCAAGUCGAACGGCAGCACAGUAAGAGCUUGCUCUUACGGUUGGCGAGUGGCGGACGGGUGAGGAAUACAUCGGAAUCUACUUUUUCGUGGGGGAUAACGUAGGGAAACUUACGCUAAUACCGCAUACGACCUACGGGUGAAAGCAGGGGAUCUUCGGACCUUGCGCGAUUGAAUGAGCCGAUGUCGGAUUAGCUAGUUGGCGGGGUAAAGGCCCACCAAGGCGACGAUCCGUAGCUGGUCUGAGAGGAUGAUCAGCCACACUGGAACUGAGACACGGUCCAGACUCCUACGGGAGGCAGCAGUGGGGAAUAUUGGACAAUGGGCGCAAGCCUGAUCCAGCCAUACCGCGUGGGUGAAGAAGGCCUUCGGGUUGUAAAGCCCUUUUGUUGGGAAAGAAAAGCAGCAGGUUAAUACCCCGCUGUUCUGACGGUACCCAAAGAAUAAGCACCGGCUAACUUCGUG
Molecule: ribosomal RNA, 491 nt
Filed under: uncultured bacterium
Lineage: Bacteria
Description: partial 16S ribosomal RNA
Rfam family: Bacterial small subunit ribosomal RNA
Source: RNAcentral